RNAcentral lists this transfer RNA (62 nucleotides) under Chelurotropella siamensis. Its description in RNAcentral is "tRNA-Thr". The record is from RNAcentral. Lineage: Eukaryota; Metazoa; Arthropoda; Insecta; Hemiptera; Urostylididae.
GUUUUAAUAGUUUAAAUUAAAACAAUGAUUUUGUAAAUCAUAAUUGGUUUUACCUUAAAACU